This 1190-nucleotide ribosomal RNA is filed under the name uncultured Prochlorococcus sp. RNAcentral describes it as "bacterial SSU rRNA". It matches the Rfam family "Bacterial small subunit ribosomal RNA", at positions 63 to 1336 of the family's 1533-position model. The record is from RNAcentral. Lineage: Bacteria; Bacillati; Cyanobacteriota; Cyanophyceae; Synechococcales; Prochlorococcaceae.
CGAACGAACCUUCGGGUUAGUGGCGGACGGGUGAGCAACGCGUGAGAAUCUGCCCUCAGGAGGGGGAUAACGGUUGGAAACGACCGCUAAUACCCCAUAUGCCUACUGGUGAAAUGAAUUUCGCCUGAGGAUGAGCUCGCGUCUGAUUAGCUAGUUGGUGAGGUAAUGGCUCACCAAGGCUUCGAUCAGUAGCUGGUCUGAGAGGAUGAUCAGCCACACUGGGACUGAGACACGGCCCAGACUCCUACGGGAGGCAGCAGUGGGGAAUUUUCCGCAAUGGGCGAAAGCCUGACGGAGCAACGCCGCGUGAGGGACGAAGGCCUCUGGGCUGUAAACCUCUUUUCUCAAGGAAGAAGAUAUGACGGUACUUGAGGAAUAAGCCACGGCUAAUUCCGUGCCAGCAGCCGCGGUAAUACGGGAGUGGCAAGCGUUAUCCGGAAUUAUUGGGCGUAAAGCGUCCGCAGGCGGCUUUUCAAGUCUGCUGUUAAAGCGUGGAGCUUAACUCCAUCAUGGCAGUGGAAACUGAAAGGCUUGAGUAUGGUAGGGGCAGAGGGAAUUCCCGGUGUAGCGGUGAAAUGCGUAGAUAUCGGGAAGAACACCAGUGGCGAAGGCGCUCUGCUGGGCCAUUACUGACGCUCAUGGACGAAAGCCAGGGGAGCGAAAGGGAUUAGAUACCCCUGUAGUCCUGGCCGUAAACGAUGAACACUAGGUGUCGGGGGAAUCGACCCCUUCGGUGUCGUAGCUAACGCGUUAAAUGUUCCGCCUGGGGAGUACGCACGCAAGUGUGAAACUCAAAGGAAUUGACGGGGGCCCGCACAAGCGGUGGAGUAUGUGGUUUAAUUCGAUGCAACGCGAAGAACCUUACCAGGGUUUGACAUCCUGCGAACCUCUUAGAAAUUUGAGGGUGCCUUCGGGAAUGCAGUGACAGGUGGUGCAUGCUGUCGUCAGCUCGUGUCGUGAGAUGUGGGAUACGUCCCGCACGAGCGCACCCACGUUUUAGUGCAGCAUUUAGUGGCACUCUAGAAGACGCGUGAUAACGAGAGUGUGAUGACGUCAGUCAUCAUGCCCCUAACGCUGGCUACCACGUACUGACAUGCUACGACAAGGGCAGCAAUCGCGGGAAGCUAGCAAUUCUAAACCGGAUCAGUUCGAUCGUAGGUGCAACUCCUAUUUGAAGAAAAGAAAUCGCU